UAUAUUCGUUCAGAAAUCCCCUCUUCUCCCAGAUCCGCCUCUCGCUCCCCCAACUCCAGUUGUCGCAGGAGACGCGCCGCUCCCUCCACCGAUCCAUCACCGUUGCCCCUGCUUCACCGAGGCCUGCAGGGCUUACCCACCGCCAACUCUACUCCACCCCCUAACUCCCCUGCCGCCGUCCUUCUUCUUCCUUAACUUCGGCGCAGGGCCGCCGCCACGUCGCACCGGGGUAACUUCGAGUGCUCCCAAGUGCUUAUUACGCCAUGGACUUGAAUACCGCAAAGAGUAUGAUGCUGGACGACAGCAACAUCAGCCCAAGAAAGAAGACAUUCACGACACGUAAGAACACCAUGCUGAGCAUAAGCAGAAACAUCAAUCCAGCAGACCAAGAAAUGCUCAAAACAUACAAGAGGAGAAGAGUGAACAGGGCUUCCAUCCCUCAGUUGUUAGACGACACUGGUGGAGAAACCAUCUUUGGUCGGUCGACCAGAUUUCACAAUAGUCCCGGUUAUAUUAAAAACCGCGACUAAAAAUAUCUUUAGUCC
Molecule: non-coding RNA, 545 nt
Organism: Oryza sativa Japonica Group (Japanese rice)
Lineage: Eukaryota; Viridiplantae; Streptophyta; Magnoliopsida; Poales; Poaceae
Source: RefSeq, a predicted model, not a curated record